Molecule: long non-coding RNA, 238 nt
Filed under: Mytilus galloprovincialis (Mediterranean mussel)
Lineage: Eukaryota; Metazoa; Mollusca; Bivalvia; Mytilida; Mytilidae
Source: RNAcentral
UUCUGUAUGUUGAACUAUCUUAAUAAUUUUUGCUUGUUUUGUUGCUUUCUCUUGACAUAUUCCUCACAUCUUCAUACGUAUGUAUCAAAUCUUCUAGAUAAUCUACUUCAAAAUUUUUACUAACUCUCUUACUGAAUUCCAUCAAGUCCUAAUCGAAUAAUAAUUCAGAUAAAAAGUUCUUCACAGUCCAUAUUAGAACAGUAUUACAGAAGGAUAUUUUUUUUAUAUAAACACAAAG